UGGGGAAUAUUGCGCAAUGGGGGAAACCCUGACGCAGCGACGUCGUGUGGGGGAUGAAGGUCCUAGGAUUGUAAACUUCUGUCUAGAGGGAAGAAGCUCUGACGGUACCUCUAAAGAAAGCACCGGCUAACUCCGUGCCAGCAGCCGCGGUAAUACGGAGGGUGCAAACGUUAUUCGGAAUUACUAGGUGUAAAGGGCGUGUAGGCGGUUUAAUAAGUUAGAUGUGAAAUCUCAUAGCUCAACUGUGAGGCUGCAUCUAAAACUGCUAGACUUGAGUAUGGGAGGGGAAAACGGAAUUUCUGGUGUAGCGGUGGAAUGCGUAGAUACCAGAAGGAAUAUCGAUGGCGAAAGCGGUUUUCUGGCCCAAUACUGACGCUAAGGCGCGAAAGCUAGGGGAGCAAACAGG
This 406-nucleotide ribosomal RNA is filed under the name uncultured bacterium. Its description in RNAcentral is "bacterial SSU rRNA". It matches the Rfam family "Bacterial small subunit ribosomal RNA", at positions 355 to 776 of the family's 1533-position model. The record is from RNAcentral.